This 1372-nucleotide ribosomal RNA is filed under the name uncultured bacterium. Its description in RNAcentral is "bacterial SSU rRNA". It matches the Rfam family "Bacterial small subunit ribosomal RNA", at positions 28 to 1381 of the family's 1533-position model. The record is from RNAcentral.
GAUGAACGCUGGCGGCGUGCCUAAUACAUGCAAGUCGAGCGAACGGACGAGAAGCUUGCUUCUCUGAUGUUAGCGGCGGACGGGUGAGUAACACGUGGAUAACCUACCUAUAAGACUGGGAUAACUUCGGGAAACCGGAGCUAAUACCGGAUAAUAUUUUGAACCGCAUGGUUCAAAAGUGAAAGACGGUCUUGCUGUCACUUAUAGAUGGAUCCGCGCUGCAUUAGCUAGUUGGUAAGGUAACGGCUUACCAAGGCAACGAUGCAUAGCCGACCUGAGAGGGUGAUCGGCCACACUGGAACUGAGACACGGUCCAGACUCCUACGGGAGGCAGCAGUAGGGAAUCUUCCGCAAUGGGCGAAAGCCUGACGGAGCAACGCCGCGUGAGUGAUGAAGGUCUUCGGAUCGUAAAACUCUGUUAUUAGGGAAGAACAUAUGUGUAAGUAACUGUGCACAUCUUGACGGUACCUAAUCAGAAAGCCACGGCUAACUACGUGCCAGCAGCCGCGGUAAUACGUAGGUGGCAAGCGUUACCCGGAAUUAUUGGGCGUAAAGCGCGCGUAGGCGGUUUUUUAAGUCUGAUGUGAAAGCCCACGGCUCAACCGUGGAGGGUCAUUGGAAACUGGAAAACUUGAGUGCAGAAGAGGAAAGUGGAAUUCCAUGUGUAGCGGUGAAAUGCGCAGAGAUAUGGAGGAACACCAGUGGCGAAGGCGACUUUCUGGUCUGUAACUGACGCUGAUGUGCGAAAGCGUGGGGAUCAAACAGGAUUAGAUACCCUGGUAGUCCACGCCGUAAACGAUGAGUGCUAAGUGUUAGGGGGUUUCCGCCCCUUAGUGCUGCAGCUAACGCAUUAAGCACUCCGCCUGGGGAGUACGACCGCAAGGUUGAAGCUCAAAGGAAUUGACGGGGACCCGCACAAGCGGUGGAGCAUGUGGUUUAAUUCGAAGCAACGCGAAGAACCUUACCAAAUCUUGACAUCCUUUGACAACUCUAGAGAUAGAGCUUUCCCCUUCGGGGGACAAAGUGACAGGUGGUGCAUGGUUGUCGUCAGCUCGUGUCGUGAGAUGUUGGGUUAAGUCCCGCAACGAGCGCAACCCUUAAGCUUAGUUGCCAUCAUUAAGUUGGGCACUCUAAGUUGACUGCCGGUGACAAACCGGAGGAAGGUGGGGAUGACGUCAAGUCAUCAUGCCCCUUAUGAUUUGGGCUACACACGUGCUACAAUGGACAAUACAAAGGGCAGCGAAACCGCGAGGUCAAGCAAAUCCCAUAAAGUUGUUCUCAGUUCGGAUUGUAGUCUGCAACUCGACUACAUGAAGCUGGAAUCGCUAGUAAUCGUAGAUCAGCAUGCUACGGUGAAUACGUUCCCGGGUCU